GGUGGCUCAGUGGCAGAGCACUUGCCUUGCAUGCAUGAGGCCCUGGGUUCGAUUCCCCAGCACCA
Molecule: transfer RNA, 65 nt
Filed under: Dipodomys ordii (Ord's kangaroo rat)
Lineage: Eukaryota; Metazoa; Chordata; Mammalia; Rodentia; Heteromyidae
Rfam family: tRNA
About the family: Transfer RNA (tRNA) molecules are approximately 80 nucleotides in length. Their secondary structure includes four short double-helical elements and three loops (D, anti-codon, and T loops).
Source: Rfam by way of RNAcentral